GCUGAAAGCCAAGUGGAGCAAGACCUUACAAUGCCAUCUGCCUGCCAGCCUGUGCUGCUGACAGGAGCAGGGGGCCACUUUAGCCCUCUGUGGGUGGGACCAAACUGUGCAUUCCACUCCCCUUAUCUCAUUUCUGAUGAGCUGUUCAUGAUGGGUCGUUUGCAGGAGCUGCCCAGUGCACCCCCGACCCCUCAGGCUAUGAGGAGCUGGCUGUUAAAUGAGAUAAGGAAGGAGAGGCAAACCCUGGGAGGCAGGGCAGUGUUUCUUUUUCUGCACACCAAUGACUCAGCUGUGAUAACUCCCUCCGGGGUAGCAGCAGCACAGUCCCACCCAGCCUGAGGGCUCACCUCUGCUGAUGGGCCAUCAUGGACUGAAUGGCCCCAGCACAAUGGGCAGCUGCAAGGACUGAGACCAUCAAGGCUCCCAAAAUACCCCAUGACUCCCAGGAUGACAUCAUUCCAUUGUGAAACUGCCCGCCCUGGGGGAGGGGCUGAGCAUUCCCACCUGAACCUGAGCAUAUAAAAUCUGGGUUUGGGGCCUUCUGGCUACACUUAACAGAUCCAGGGCAGGAGCAGAACUCCAAGAGGACUGUGACCACCGCUGUUGACAAGACUGCUCCCAUCACUUGGACAGGACUGUGUCCACCACUCUGACCAACAGGAUUUCCCACUCCCAAACCUUUGUCCAGAUGGAGGAGGACGCUGUGAGGAAGAGGAAGAUGCCCCAGGACACCCAGGCAGACAAGGAGCUGAGGACAGAGCCCAGGGAGGACAAAUCCCCGCGGCAGAACCUGGUGGAAGAGGCCGUUUUGAGUAGCUCCACAUCGCAGGAAUCCAGCUGGGAGGAAUACCACCGGAGAUCCCACAGGAGGAGGGGCUGCAAACGCAGCCCAGGCAGCUGUGAGGAGGAA
Corvus hawaiiensis (hawaiian crow) is the source of this 910-nucleotide long non-coding RNA. RefSeq lists it as uncharacterized. Lineage: Eukaryota; Metazoa; Chordata; Aves; Passeriformes; Corvidae. The record is from RefSeq and is a predicted model, not a curated record. The transcript is spliced from 3 exons.